Long non-coding RNA from Cuculus canorus (common cuckoo), 287 nucleotides. RefSeq lists it as uncharacterized. NCBI's taxonomy places the organism in Eukaryota, Metazoa, Chordata, Aves, Cuculiformes, Cuculidae. The record is from RefSeq and is a predicted model, not a curated record. The transcript has 3 exons.
AGGGGAUUGCGAGGAGCUGUUCUUUUCGUGACUUCACGGCCUUCUGUGGUCUCUCUGUUGGAAUGGAAAGAGUUAUUUGCAGGGAGCCCUCAGCUGGGCAGGAGCUGGUGGUUUUUCCGGGGUCUGCGGAAGCACAGCUGGGCUCGUGCCCGGAGGAGCACACGCUGAGCUACACAGAGGUUUCAGCCACCCGGAGUGCGCUCACCUGAACUAUCAGCCUCACUAACCUCGUUUGCUGUGAGCUGUCCUGGGCAAACCUGGCUAUCGCAGGGAAAAUCCGAUCAGCG